GUCCUCUUCCGAUCUUGCAGAGGAACAGACGGAAGAAAAAACAGAAGGAAUUGAGAGCAGAAAUCAUCAAGCGACAGAAAGACAAGAAGCAUGCUCGGGACACGAAAGAGAGGAAAAAA
Long non-coding RNA from Amblyraja radiata (thorny skate), 119 nucleotides. RefSeq lists it as uncharacterized. Lineage: Eukaryota; Metazoa; Chordata; Chondrichthyes; Rajiformes; Rajidae. The transcript has 3 exons. The record is from RefSeq and is a predicted model, not a curated record.